Molecule: ribosomal RNA, 451 nt
Filed under: uncultured Fibrobacter sp.
Lineage: Bacteria; Pseudomonadati; Fibrobacterota; Fibrobacteria; Fibrobacterales; Fibrobacteraceae
Description: partial 16S ribosomal RNA
Rfam family: Bacterial small subunit ribosomal RNA
Source: RNAcentral
ACGGGAGGCAGCAGUGGGGAAUAUUGCACAAUGGGGGAAACCCUGAUGCAGCAACGCCACGUGUGGGAAGAAGCAUUUCGGUGUGUAAACCACUGUCGUGAGGGAAUAAUGCUUAAUUUCGGCUAAGUUGAAUGUACCUCGAAAGGAAGCACCGGCAAACUUCGUGCCAGCAGCCGCGGUAAUACGAGGGGUGCAAGCGUUGUUCGGAAUCACUGGGCGUAAAGGGAGCGCAGGCGGAGAUGCAAGCAGUCUGUACAAUACCGGGGCCCAACCCCGGACCUGCAGACUGGACUGUUUCUCUUGGAUAGUUCAGGGGCAAGCGGAAUUCCUGGUGUAGCGGUGGAAUGCGUAGAUAUCAGGAGGAACACCGGUGGCGAAGGCGGCUUGCUGGGCUUUUACUGACGCUCAUGCUCGAAAGUGCGGGUAGCAAACAGGAUUAGAUACCCUGGUA